Molecule: long non-coding RNA, 260 nt
Filed under: Mus spretus (western wild mouse)
Lineage: Eukaryota; Metazoa; Chordata; Mammalia; Rodentia; Muridae
Description: lncRNA (ENSMSPG00010025219.1)
Source: RNAcentral
UGGAUGGACAGCAAAUUCGGUGUAUGCUAGCUGGUCCACAUUACUGGGGAGCAGGUUAGCUAUAGCUACUAGAAGCAUGAGAACUUCACCCAGUGUGGUCCAAAGGUUAAAACACAUCAAACACACUGCAAGUUGUUGUCAUGGGUCCUACAGUCAACUGCCCUUAUGCUGGUUUUGUCUCCUGGACACUUUGUACCAGCUGAAGAUAGGCUCCCCUCCCGCCAAACACCAGUGCCUCAUUAUGACUCAAACUGGGAGUG